CCUACGGUGAGCAGCAGUGAGGAAUAUUGGUCAAUGGACGCAAGUCUGAACCAGCCAUGCCGCGUGCAGGAAGACGGCUCUAUGAGUUGUAAACUGCUUUUGUACGAGGGUAAACGCAGAUACGCGUAUCUGUCUGAAAGUAUCGUACGAAUAAGGAUCGGCUAACUCCGUGCCAGCAGCCGCGGUAAUACGGAGGAUUCAAGCGUUAUCCGGAUUUAUUGGGUUUAAAGGGUGCGUAGGCGGUCUGAUAAGUUAGAGGUGAAAUCUCGAGGCUCAACUUCGGAAUUGCCUCUGAUACUGUUCGGCUAGAGAGUAGUUGCGGUAGGCGGAAUGUAUGGUGUAGCGGUGAAAUGCUUAGAGAUCAUACAGAACACCGAUUGCGAAGGCAGCUUACCAAGCUACUUCUGACGUUGAGGCACGAAAGCGUGGGGAGCAAACAGGAUUAGAUACCCGGGUAGUC
This 460-nucleotide ribosomal RNA is filed under the name uncultured bacterium. RNAcentral describes it as "partial 16S ribosomal RNA". It matches the Rfam family "Bacterial small subunit ribosomal RNA", at positions 338 to 795 of the family's 1533-position model. The record is from RNAcentral.